AAAGAAUUAAAGGUGACCACUUCUUAUACUAAAACAGAGACGAUCAGCUUUGAAUUUAGUCUUUUCCCACUUUUAACAACAGUAAUUAUCGUGCUAGGGAUUUUAGAAAUAUAAGAAUGAAGGAGACAGACACUGACCUCGAAGAAUAUUCAUUGUAAUAAAAGAAGUGAGACCCAGACAUUAAAUGAAAUAGAAGUGAUAAAUAUCAUACAAAGGAGUAGUGGUACAAUUGGCAGCUCAGAGGAAGCUGGAUUACCUCCAACUGGGAAGGCCCCAUGGAGGGAACAGCAUGUGUGGUGGGCCCCGAUUUUGAACAAUGAAGAUGGACCUGUGUUUUCGGAAGAAGGAAUAGGUUUGGUCAAUUUGUGGAAAGGCUUUGUCACGGCCUGGGCGCCCCUGGAAACGGAUGUUGAGAUGGAGACCUGUGUGUUUUAUUUUACAUUUAUUGGAGUAUGCCUAGAGGGGCAACAUUUCUAAGGGAGAAGGAAGUGAGACAAGCAGAAUUGGGUAGAAGGAGUGGUUGAACUGUGAUGCAGCUGCAACAGAGGCCAAGCCAAUGCCAUGAGGAACUCUGAAGCUGAGAUGGCCCUUUAGAGACAUCCUGGGUGGAGGCAGAGGGGUGGGCUGGGCCUCUAUAUCUCGCAGUGAGUCAUCGAGUGUGAGUUGCCCCAGAGGCAGCUCCCUUCAGCCUAGGCAGUUCCUGGGGCAGGUCCCAGCUGUGAGCCAUCAGCAGGCAAGCAGCUGGGCAGCUGGAAUAACUAUAAGGGGGACCUGGGCGGCACACUGUAGCGUGCUCUACAGUUUUGGAUGUUGACGUAGGGAGAUGGGACCUUGUGUUAGUUUUCUAGGGCAGCUAUGACAAAGAACCACAGACUGGGUAGCUUAACAGAAAUUUAUUUUCGGACAGUCCUGGAGGCUUGAAAUUCAAGAUCAAGGUGUCAAUGAGGUUGUUUCAAGCCCAUCUCCUUCGCUUAAAGAUGGCUGCCUUCUCCCAGUGUCUUCACGUAGUCUUCCAUCUGUGUGUGUCUGUGUCCUAAUCUCCUCUUCUUACAAGGGCACCAGUUAUACUGCAUAAGGGCCCACCCUCAUGACCUCAGUUAACCUCAAUUACCUAUUUAAACACCCUAUCUUUAAAAGAGUCAGAUUCUGAGGUACUGGGGGUUAGGACUUUAACAUAUGAAUUUUGAGUGGACACAAUUUAGCCCAUAGAAGACUUCAUUUGUUUGGAGAAAGAAGAAUAUUAGAGGUUUUCUCAGGGUGAAUACUUACUAAAGGAUGUGCUUCAGAAAUCUGUGAGUAAUGAGAACACGGAUGGGAAGGAGAGAAAAAAGAUGGAGGCUAGUUGGGAAGCCACUACUUCAAUUCUGAAAUAAAUAAUAAAACCUGAACUAAAAUAGUGACAGCAGUGAUGGAAAACAGAGAAAAGAUGCAAAGGAUUUCUCAGAGUAAGCCUUGUUGGGACUCUCUAGUGGGUUGGAUGUGGGGAGCAAGGAAAAGGCAGAGGUUGAAGAUUGGCAGCUUGGAUAAGCACCUUCAACAGAACAGGGCACAUGAGAGUAGGAAACAUUUGCAUGCAAGCAAAAGAAAAAAAAAAGUGAUUAUUUGCAACACAUUAGGAUUGAGAUACCAACAAGAUCUCCAGGUUGAAAUGUCUAAUGCAGAUUGGAAAUAACGGGUGAGAAGGUUGGAGAGAUACAGUAUUAGACAUGUGGUUCUGGGAGUCACUUGUGGGUUAGCACAAUCUUUAGUUUGCAUGAGAUUCCCCACGGAGCCUGUCAAGAGCAACAAGAGGGUGAAUGACUGGUCAGGAGGUGAUGUCAACAUCAAGACAAACAAGGAAUGGUAAACAAAAGAGGAAAUAAAAGAAGGGACAGAGAGGGGCAAGGGAAGCAGAACAAGAGAACGUGCGUUAAGCCAAUGGAGAGGGUUUCCAGAGGCACACGUGGUUGCUCCUCAGUUAUUUGUUAGAUAAAUGGACCAGUGGAUAAAUGGCUAAAUAAGCAAAUACAAAUAUUUUCAGUCAUGAGCCUUGUGUUUCCCGCAGGCUAACAGACCUGUUUGUUUACCUUGUAAGUUAGCUUUCUGAGAACAAAGCAGUGGAAUUUUCCGAGGUGUCAAAUUCUAAAGAAUAGAAUUUUGUCAUCCAUUCUCCUCCUCAGAUAAAUGUUAAAAUGGAAACUCUACCUAGCACUCUGCUGGAAUUCACAACAUAGUAGCUGGAAACUUGUUGCCCAAGCUGCCAUCUUCAUCUGGCCAUGUAGGAGUCAUAUGAGAAUAAGACCUCACACAGAGGGCAGCAGGGAUGAAAAAGAGAAGAAACCAGGCCCUAGCAAUUUUAUUUACAUCCUGAUCAAACCUUUCCUGAUUUCAAUCCUAACUCUGGACUUUUCAGAGGAUCAGAGGAAAGGAUCUAACCAAAUCCCCACGAUGAGAAGCAGUCCCUGGAACCAGAAGUGGAAGUGUCAAAACUCUCACCAGAAAGCUAGCUAUGAGAGGUUCUAUCCAAGCUGGCAAGCCCAGGUGGUUUGGAAAGUACAAAUAAGAGACCAAAUUGUCGGGGAAAUGAGGACUAGAAUCCUGGAGGGCAGUGUGACACUUUGCUGUCUUUAAAUUUGAAAAGAUUUAUUGGUCAGAUCUGUGUAUGAUGAAAAAGAAGUGCCAAACAUCCAGGAGAAAUUAAAUUUCACGAGAGGUAAAAAUAAGUCAAUAAGAGCAUUUAAAAGUUAAAUGACAAAUUUGUAGAAUUAAUUGCACUAUGAAUUUUAGAUAUGCGAUCUGGUAGGGUGCCAUAUUACAGAGGGGUCUUACUGCAUUGGAUUACUUAGAUCCCAGCACGUCUUAAAAACAUUCAGGUCCUUUCCCCAACAUUACUUCUUUUUGGAGUUAACUUGACAGGAGAUUACUAGUCUGUUAUGCUAAUUAUUUGAUGAUCUUUUACUUUCACCCAUUUAGGUCACUAAUAAGAUGCUCCACUUGACCUUCCUGUAAUUGAUUCUCCAGAAUGAUUAUUUUCAAUGCCAACCCAAUCCCAGCCUGCCCCUGGUUGAAACCCUCCAGUAGCUCCUCAUUCCUAACAGGACAGGACCUGACCCCACCUCCCACUUAGCAACAUGGGAAGAGACACACCUCUUCUCGAUCUGGCCCUCAUUUGCUUUUCUGGACUCACAUGUCCCCAUCUGAUACCUAGUCCUUGCCCCAGCCGUAAGGAACUUCUUUUAGUUCCUGACCUGGAGGCUGGGUCCCUCUUCCCUCUCUGCCUUCUGGGAUUCCAUACUUGGUAUUCCUUCUACGUGGAAUAUUAUUCCCACCCUCUCACCCCUACAACCACAGCUUCCAUUGACCAUGCCUACUCAUCCUCCAGAUCUCAGCUUUAGUGUCACUUUCUCUGGAAAGCCUUCUGUAAGCUGGAAGUCCCUGCUGUGUGACCCUUCUAGGCACUCCCAGACUUGACCCCAUCAGCACUUAGCCCACUGUAUGGUGAUUGCUCGCUCACUUGUGUAGAUCCGCUGUUAAACUGUAAGGUCUAUGAGGAUGUGUAGUGGGCAGAGUAAUACCCCCCAAGAAUGUCCACAUCGUAACCCUGGAAACCGUGAGUAUGUGAUGGUACACAGCAAAGGGAAAUUAAGGUUGCAGGUGGAAUUAAGGCUGAUAGUUAACUUUAAGGUAGGGAGAUUAUUCUGGAUUAUCUAGGUGGGCCCGAUGUAAUCACAAGGGUCCUUAAAAGUACAAAAGGGAGGCAGAAGAGGAAAGUCAGAGAGAGGUAUGAGUAUGGGAGAAUGAGCGGAGAGAUGCAAUGUUGCUGGCUUUGAAGAUGGAAGCAGGGAGCCCUGGGCCAAGGAAUGUGGGCAGUCUCUAGAAGCUGGAAAAGGCAAGGAAAUGGAUUCAUUCCUAGAGCUGCCAGAAGGGAAUGUAGCCCUGCAGAUGCCUUGAUUUUGGCCCAGUGAGGCCCAUUUUGUACUUCUAACCCACAGAACUGGAAGAUAAUCAAGUUGUGUUAUUUUAAGCCACGAGGUAUAUGGUAAUUUGUUAGAGCAGCAAGAGAAAAAAUAACACAGGAAAGAAAUGCUGUCUCUCUUGCUCACAGUUGUAGCCCAAGGUCCAUAAUAGUCCGUGGAAUGUGGUAAAUGGCUUGAUAGCCAUUCAUUGAAUGGGAAACUAGAAUGUCAGGCCAAGGAAUGGCUCUGGAGGAAUGCUCUGUAAGUAUCCAUGUUGCUAAUUGUGAUGCUCAUCGCCUUCUUCCAAUCAUCCUGCCUGUGAAAGGUGAUCCUCCAUUGUGUACUUAUUUCCCUUUUCUCUUUCUUGCUAAAGAUGAAGAAUAUUUUUCUAUUUGGAAGAAGGUAAGACGAUCCAUAUACUAAAAGACAUGAGAGAGAAGAAAGGUGAGAAACUGGGCCAGGAGAGAAAGUUGUAGCACUCUAAGGAGGACAGAGUAAACGAAAGGCUAGGAGCACUGAAGCAUGCUGUAAGGACUUAUGAUGGAUGUCAUUGAGGGUUAUGAACUAGAUCUGCAUUAAUGCUCUCUGUAAGACAAAAGUCUAAGAUGGGAUUAUUUUAAAGUCACUUAUGACUAUUAAAUUGUAUGUCUGUAGAAAAACUUUCUGCAAAGGCUGAGUUUGGCCAUUCUACAUUUAUUAGGGUUCCACUUCUUUUGACACAAUAGCACAAUGAUAGGGACACACUGUUAAGUCCAUUUUGGGUGUGUGAAGUUGAAGCAAACUAGGUAUAUAUCUCUGUCAACUGAACAGUAUUUUUUUUCCAGCUAAUUGAGCUCCUGGGAAACAAGGACAUGAGCUCUUGGUUCAUUACGUUCAAGAUAAGUCCAGCAACAUGUUGAUUUAUCUGGGCACCUUUGGAAUCCUUCAUAAGCAGCUGGGUUCACACAGGAGCCACAGAGGCAUCAAAAAGCCCCUGGAAGAAUUUAGUUAAUUGCCAUUACACUCACAGUUAUGUUACACUUUUGUUAGUUGCUUUUCUCCUUUUGUAAAGCUUAAGUGAGAAGAAGCUUUGCUUUUAAUAACUUAACUUUUAGUAAGAAGAUAUUUUGUACAUUAAAUCUGUAAGCAAUUUUCUUCAAAAUCCAGCUACAAAGAAGCUAAAAUGAAAGGAAACUGUUCUGAAAAAAAUUUCCCAAUAUUUUGGAACUUAAGAAGAGUGAGGAAAAUAAAGUUGCCAUGGAUACUAAAAAGAAAACAGUAGAACUUUUUCCAAAAUUCCUAGGUUAUAGGAAAAAAAUAUCUUUGAAUUGCAAGCUUGGAGAAAAUUUGUGACGUCCAUUUUCUGUACAUUUGCUAAAUAGGACAAGAGCACUGAAAUAAUACAGAUGCCAAAGGUUGAUUUUUAAAGACAAAAUUGGCUGUCAUCCUUGUAACAGCACUGACAGAGCAAUUGUGUUUCAUGUUGAAAAGCCCACAGGCACCAGGAGCAAAGCUAUAGACCUGUCUCCAGUGCUUCUCACCAGUGACACACAGCGAUAUGAAUAUUUCAAUGGCAUUUCUGAAGUUUCCCUUUCAGGAAAUGUUGGGCUGGUUUAAUCCAUUAACCCCUGAAGACACCAGAUUUAUAAUACAAACCUUAAAGUUCACGGAUUUAGCUUAGUAGCUAAAACCACUUCUUUUCUCUCUUCCUAAGAGCCUAAAUUUUCUGCUCUGAGGAGUAAGUCAGGAACAACUCAGGCUUGUGUUGCCUAACUUGCAGAUGCUUAUUUUCAAACCUCUGUUUACUUGUGAAGAUAAAGCACGCAUCUUAAAAAUAAAUUAAAACAGCAAAAGAAGGUUUACAAUGAAAAGGCAUCCUUGAAAUUAUAAUUAUGGUCUUUUGUUACGAUUUGCUAAUGGCUGACGCCUCCACUAGACUGUUCUCUCCAAGAGGGGAUUGGAUUAUUGUAUUCAGUCAGCAAUUGUGACAGCAGGUUCCUUAGUGUCCAGCGUAGAGCUUGGCAUAUCACGGCCUCUCAAUAAAUAAUUCUUGGUUGAAAACAUCAGAGGAAACAAGCUAUCUGAUAUAAGCUCAAGUCUACAAAUGAGACAUGAGGUGACGUGUCUAAGAAAAUGAAGUGGGUUGUGGCAGAAAUUUCACUAGAAUCCAGAAUGGACCCCAGGCUGCAUGACUCCCACUCAGUGUUCUUAUUACCACAGUCAGUUUAAAUGGAAAUUCUUUUCCUAAUAAUCCUCAAGGCAAGAGUCGCAUGGCAACUAGAUUAAAGAACUCUGUAGGGCUCUUGUCUUCCAUUCCAAAUUAAAUGCAUCCAAGGUACCUAUGACUUGCCCACCAGUUUCAGGUGUAGAAGGUGAAGAAUUAAGGAAAGCUCCUCCAUUAGAAGAUGAAGGAUGGGUGCUAUGUGUGGUCUUGGCAUCUCAAACAAACAAACAAACAAACAAAUGUGGAACAAUGUACGUCAAGCCAUCACCUAUCUCCUUAGUUGCUUCUCUUAUAAAGGAGUGAACGAGAAGUGGAGAGAGAAAAUGAAAUUGUUAAAUCUUAAAAUUUCACUCACCAUCCACUCCUAUCCAAGGGUAGGGAAGCUUAUUUCACUUCUUAUGAAACUGUGGAGAUUAGGGAAUAAAGAGUUUCACAAAACACUCCCCAAUUCUUGUUUUCAUGACCUGUAGCAUCUAUAGGUACCUCCUAUUAUCAAAUUUCCAGAGAGAAAUGCAAGUCCAAGAAAUGAAAUAAAUUCCCUCAAAUUAAAUGAAAAGAAACUACAGUCCAGAUUUCUGCUUUCCUUGAUCUCUCCUCCUGCUCUGUCCCAAUCGGAGGGAACUCACAAGGACACUAGGUGAGAGUUGAGUGUCCCCCUGCAGCAGCUGCAUCCCCAGCUUUCUUCCCAGGAAGUGGGGGGAGGGGAGUUUCUUCUGCACCUACAAAGUUGAAUUAGUGUUACCACGAGCCCUUCAUGGAUCUCAAUUUCCAAUGAGUCAACAAGUCAGUGGGAUAUAUAGAAUACAUUGGCUCUAGCCCUGCAUCCACAAAAUUUAGAAGCCAACAUGGCAUUCUCCAACUACCUCGAUAAGUAUAUCAAACAGAUGUAUGUUCUCAGAAGUAAAUAAAUAUUUCAGUGCCGAUCCCCACUGCUGUGGAGUGCAAUGAGCCAAGAGCCACAGCAGUGAAAUCUUAGAGAAGAGAGAAAGGAAGCAAUCUCCCUGAUUUGAGACUUAUAAGAUGCCAGCUAAUUUCUAAACCUGAACUCCAUUGCUGUAAGAAAUUUCCUUUCAUGCCCUAUCAUCCCAAAUCCCCAGGGAAACAUCCAUCUUGCAAACUGAUUCUGUUCUCAAGUAGAGAUAUUUUCAACAGUCUAUCUUCUUGCAAAAUUUAGGCAUUUGCUGUGGUGAGGUCCCAGGAGAAGUGGCCAGCACAUCAACAGUAUUGCUCUCCCGUGGCAUCCUGAUGGGGGACUAUCCAUGGGCUCCAUCUAGAGACAGCUUCUACUUCCUUUUACAGGAAAUGGCAUCUGAACAGAGCAUGAGUAAGCUUCAAGUGACUUCUCCGGCAUAUUGAGAAGAGCUCUCCUCUUUGCAGGAGUCAGAAAGAUGAUAGCAGAUGGAGCACUGGACGGGGAGCAGUGCUCCUGCUUGCAUUUCCGUGAGGUCGGCUUCCUAACCUAACUGGACAGCCUCACACUCCUCCUAAAGGAGGUGUCGCAGCCCUUCAAGUGACGAGAAUAUGUGCGAAAGCCCUGAGGCAGGAGUGUGCUUGGCACAUCUAUGGUACAUUAAGGACUGCAUAGUAGCUGGAGCCCAGAUCAAAGGGGAGCAUGGACAGAGAAGACGUCAGAGAGGAACCAGGAGCAAGAUCAUGUAGGUCCCUGACAACAAGAAUGGAGACUCCUCUGAGACGAUAUGGCACACAGAAGAAUUUGAGGGCUCAAUGGCAGAUGAUCACAGAAGGGGGGUGUCUCUCAUGGAAUUCUAAGAUGGAAGCCUUUUGUAAAGAUAAUGACAGCAUAUUGGAGGUAACGAACAACUUGUGGAGGGUUGAGACUGAAAUCAAUGACUACACAUAAAGCAAUUAUGCUGCACGGCAUAAAAGAGAUGCCGCGCUCUCCUCAGAGCUUAAUCCCUCCCUGAAAGAGAAUUGAGAAAGACAUUCGGGCUGCCAAUGCUGCACUGAGGUGAGAAAACUGAAGUCAGAGGUUAAGUCAUUGGUCCAAGAUCGCACAGUGAUGAAGUGCCAGAGCUAUGACUUUACUUCCAGGGCUGUUUGACUCCAAGGACUUCUGCAUUUUAUUGUCCUGCUUGCACUUGGCCCUGGGGUGAACCAAGGCAAUAGCAAGCUGACACUCAUGCUUGGUGUAUGAAUGAGGACUCUCAGUGGCGUCCCUAAGAGGGCAUCCAAACUAGUAUGAUCUUGAUUACCUGUUUAAGAUCUAAUUUUCCCUUAACACAGAUAUUGGGAAAGGACUCUUGGAAAAGGCAGGAAUUCUGGGCUUUGGCCCCAUGCUCGGGGACUCCCUCCUGGGUUUCUCACAGUAGUGUGCGUGUGGUUUACCCCAGCUCCUCCUCCUGCCAGCUGGAGGGUCAGUUUAGUUAAACAAACAUUUAGUGAGCAGGCACUUCCUAAGUAAACUACACCAGUAUUAGAUCUGGAAACAAGAAACAAAUCAAGCUCCCUCUCUGACCCUGAGGCCUGACAAUUUAAUCUCUUCUACUUGCAUUGUCCUUCCACUCCAACCACAGGCAAUUGAGAGUCACAUUAGCUACACAGCCUUCUGCUGUAAUUUGAGAAUUGUAGGCUGCGUGUUCCAGGCCUGCUCUGUCACUAAAGGGCCAUGGGCCUGUAUCACAGUCUCUACAUGAGAUGGCCAUGUGGCAACUGCCCCUCCUCAUGUCACACAAAUAUCUUUCAUCUUUUCAUUAUGGACUAGGACAUAACUCUCUUCUGAGAGCUGGGGCUGCCUUUUGCUACAGGAAGAAGAGGGUUUGCUCCUUGUUCUUCAGGGUCUCAGUUUCUACGUCACUUUAGUUCCUACACACUUUCUUUCAUAGUUUGAUGGGUGUCUGUUUCAAUAAACUGCGUGUUUGUUACUGGCAAUGCCAGUGGGAGGUAGUUUUUUUAAGUGUCCCUAUUUCAGGCUCUGAGGGAGCAUCUUAUAACAUCUUUCCAGGUUUCCUUCUCUUAUUUUUGGUGACUGUCUCUGUGCUAAAAACAAACAUAAUUCCCAUGUACUAUCCCUUUUCAGCAUUUUUAUUUUGGAGAUGACUGUGCCAACAAAUGAGAAUCAGAAUGAGAAGGUUUAUCUUGUAUUCCAAGAAAAGUGAAAUUAAAACCAGUUGAUGCUGUUAAAAUUCAAAAUGAGUGACCUUCUUAUAGAGAAACUUUGAGUAGAUCCAUUGUUAAUAUGUACUCUAUAUGGGUGCCCCUCAUGGCACCAGGAUACAUCCACUUUCCCAGUGGCUGACCUGAACGCUUCUGCCUACUUGCCAGUCUUUGAAGCUUUGGAACCCAAGGAAAGGAUCAUGUGCCUAU
Molecule: long non-coding RNA, 9462 nt
Filed under: Equus caballus (horse)
Lineage: Eukaryota; Metazoa; Chordata; Mammalia; Perissodactyla; Equidae
Description: lncRNA (ENSECAG00000055125.1)
Source: RNAcentral